GGCGGCGUGCCUAAUACAUGCAAGUCGAGCGAACAGAUAAGGAGCUUGCUCCUUUGACGUUAGCGGCGGACGGGUGAGUAACACGUGGAUAACCUACCUAUAAGACUGGGAUAACUUCGGGAAACCGGAGCUAAUACCGGAUAACAUAUUGAACCGCAUGGUUCAAUAGUGAAAGGCGGCUUUGCUGUCACUUAUAGAUGGAUCCGCGCCGUAUUAGCUAGUUGGUAAGGUAACGGCUUACCAAGGCAACGAUACGUAGCCGACCUGAGAGGGUGAUCGGCCACACUGGAACUGAGACACGGUCCAGACUCCUACGGGAGGCAGCAGUAGGGAAUCUUCCGCAAUGGGCGAAAGCCUGACGGAGCAACGCCGCGUGAGUGAUGAAGGUCUUCGGAUCGUAAAACUCUGUUAUCAGGGAAGAACAAAUGUGUAAGUAACUGUGCACAUCUUGACGGUACCUGAUCAGAAAGCCACGGCUAACUACGUGCCAGCAGCCGCGGUAAUACGUAGGUGGCAAGCGUUAUCCGGAAUUAUUGGGCGUAAAGCGC
This 548-nucleotide ribosomal RNA is filed under the name uncultured bacterium. RNAcentral's name for it is "bacterial SSU rRNA". It matches the Rfam family "Bacterial small subunit ribosomal RNA", at positions 38 to 568 of the family's 1533-position model. The record is from RNAcentral.